Molecule: long non-coding RNA, 3177 nt
Filed under: Bubo bubo (Eurasian eagle-owl)
Lineage: Eukaryota; Metazoa; Chordata; Aves; Strigiformes; Strigidae
Description: lncRNA (ENSBOBG00000004591.1)
Source: RNAcentral
GCUUUGCUGAGUACCUCUCACCCUGGAGGGGUGGGGGUGUUAGAGCUGGGAGGGUGGGGCAGCUCUUAUCUUCCUCAAACCCUUGGAGAAGGGGGUGUGGGUGCCUCUGUUUGUGCCUGGAGGGGUUUGGCCCAGACAGUGGAGGAGCUGAGAGGUGCUUCAGGGCUGUGACUUAUCUCAUGGCCUGAGCUGCCUAAACUGAGUCAUGUGAGCUGGGCUUUGAAGAGCCUGCUUUGGGGUUGGGUUGUUGGUUCGGUUUUUUGUUUGGGUUUGGUUUUUUUUUUUUAACUUCAGAGAAAUGCCCAGUUAAAUGGGACUUGUGGGCUUUGAUUUCUGGGUGAUGUGGAGAAGACCUUCAGCGGUGAACUGCAGAGGGAUUUGCUGUUUUGGGCACUGUGCAUCUCCCUGGGCUGCUGGGAGGGGGCUGUGGGGCCUCUGCCAUCGCAUGGUCCAAAUAGUUGUAGCUCUGUCCCUGAGAAAACAGCCAGGGAACUGCCUCUGGCUCCAGUAUGUCCUGGUCGGCAGGGAUGGAGAAGACACCUGGGUGAUGUCACCUCCAUCCCUCCUCCCUGGCUCUCUGCCUGCGCUGUUGCAGGCAGCUGCCGGCAGCGCAGAGGGACUGCGGGCAGGUGGUGCAGCGCCAGCUGCAGCCAUCUCGCUUUGGGUGCUCCCCUCUCUCCCACACUCAGCUGCUCUGAGCUCAUGGUGGAGGGCCUUCAGCCUCAGUGCUUCCUCCUCGCUGGCUGGGAGGAGGGGGCUCGAGGGCUGCACUCAAGCGGCCCAAAUUUCCUCUUUUCAAGCAACCAGCUGGCUGAAUUGUGAGAGUCCUGCCCAGGGACAUAUGUGCUGGUCUUGGGAUACUCCGUGCCAUCCAGCUGUGAGUGUCAGCUCCCCUUCCCCCCGACCCCUGCCCAGCAAACUUCAUGCCCAUAGGAGACUUCACAGAAUCACACAAUGGUUUGGGUUGGUUUGGGUUGAAAGGGACCUUUAAAGGCCAUCUAGUCCAACCGCCCUGCCAUGAGCAGGGACAUCUUCACCUAGAUCAGGUUGCUCAGGGUCCAUCCUGACCUUGAAUGUUUCCAGGGAUGGGGCAUCUACCACCUCUCUGGGCAACCUGUGCCAGUGUUUCACCACCCUCAUCAUAAAAAAUUUCUUCCUUAUAUCUAGUCUGAAUCUCCCCUCUUUCAGUUUAAAACCGUUACCCCUCGUCCUAUCCCUACACUCCCUGGUAAAGAGUCCCUCCCCAGCUUUCCGUAGCCCCCUUUAUCUAUUGGGAGGCCACAUUAAGGUCUCCCCAGAGCCUUCUCCAGGCUGAACCGCCCCAACUCUCUCAUGGCCUUAGGAGGCUUCAAGCCCAUAAGAGACUUGACAAGAGCCUGGUUUGCUGAAACAACCGACUGUCUCCCAGCUAUUCUGGUUGUGCUGGGCAAUAUCUCGCUGCUUCUGCUGGGUUUGCAGCUGUCAGCCAUGUCGUGGGGCGGAUGCAAUGCAGCAGAGCGCCUGUCGGAGUGGAAGCUGCCUGGUGUCUUUUUUCAGUUUGGUCUUGGGUUACGUGGAGCUCGCAGUCUGCAGCCGGUGUGGUCUGGUAACUUGAGGAUAUGAGAUCUCCCACGUCCAUCCAUCAAGAGCUCGGCGCAAGCGGCCGUAUUGAUGCAGGAGGCUUUGCAGGGCGGGUUUGAGCGUGUCAGCAAAGUUGCAAGCAUUCUGCUGAAAACAAAAGUGUAUUAGGUGGCUUCUGGCCUCAAAACGCCUCCCUUCAGUGCUACUGAAAAUAUAAAGUUGACUGCAGGAAGUACAGAAGUUCUUGGGUUGGUUUGUGGGAGAUUUUUUUCAAGAUUUUUCAUUAGAAAAGGUGCUUCAGCUGAGGCCAGUCACCUGUAGGCUUUCUAUGGCCGUGUUGAAGGAGCACAAAGCAAAAACCACAGUAGCCUUAGAAAUGUGUAUUUAUUUCUCUGGGCAUAACCUCCUUCCUGCUGCGUAAGCAGGGGAGCGCGGCGGGGCCACCAGCAUUGCCAGCGAGUCUCUUGUCUGCGAGAAAGAAACCUCUAAGCAAGCAAAUAUGCAUGAAACACCUUCAAAGAGGUGAGAUCUGGGGGUAGGAGGACCCAUGUGCUGCUGAAACUCAACCAGCUUUUGGGCUGAGCAUCCUGCUGAAAGCUUGGAGAGUGGCAAGAAAAGUAAAUAAAUGGUGAAAGGAGAAGGGGGAAGGAAAAAAACCAAACCCUUUAUACACUUAGCUGCAGCCGCCUGGGCUUGUUGCUGGCAGAAAGUAGGACACUCCUGCUGGGUUUUCUUCUCUGGAAAGGCUAAACUUGGCUGUGAGUGGGAGGCAGCCUGCAUGGAAAUGUGUGUGUGUCUCCCCAUCCCCUGCCCCUGCUCAGCAAGCUCUGCUGCUGCGGGGCCGGAGAGCUGCUGGCAAGAGCUGUGUGUCCGGCUGCUCGGGCGUAUUUGCCCAGAAGGGUUUAAGCUCAGGCUUGCAAAGGUGAUUAUACGUUCAGCUUGCUGAGAUGAGUAGGAAUUAAAGCCUAAAUAUCUCUGCUGUUCAGGCUGCUGCGGAGUAUGCGAGGUCUUGGGUUGCUCGGCAGGCUUGGAGCUCGUCGGGGUGGAUGUGGGGUUGGUGGAAGGGGAGCUGGGAGGUUUUGAAGGAGGAGGAGGGUGCCCUGGUGUGUUUGCAGGUCUGAGUCACACGUGGGGAUGUGGAGCAAGCGGUGGCUGCUGGUGUUGGGGAUUAAAUCGGAGUUGGGCAGUUUAAUGUGAAUUAGGUUAAAGGAGGCAGGAGAGCAGAGAAGCAGCCAAGCCCUUGGAGCAUCUUUGAGCUGGGUGAUGUUUGUGCUCCUGAACGGGAGGCUGUGGUCCACUCUUGCUGUUUUCCCUGCGUCUCUGUUCCCUAAAUUGGGACUUUCCUGGUGCCCUGUGCCAAGGGAUGUGGCUUCACAUCGUCCUUCGUGAAAAGCCCCAGCACAAGGGGAACACAGGCAUCAGCCACAGGCAUCUCCAGUGCACAUGGACCCCCCCUCUGCAUGGGACAGGGCGUCACCACCCAGGUCUGUGACCCUGAUCAGAGUCCCUGGGGCAAUGGGCUGGCCAAAAUGAGGCCAUAAAGUCCAAAAAUGUGCUUUGGAGUGAUGUGUUCAAAGGGAAGAGCACUGCCCUAGGGCAGGGGCUAGCAGGUCUCCA